Long non-coding RNA from Chanos chanos (milkfish), 6288 nucleotides. RefSeq lists it as uncharacterized. Lineage: Eukaryota; Metazoa; Chordata; Actinopteri; Gonorynchiformes; Chanidae. The transcript is spliced from 6 exons. The record is from RefSeq and is a predicted model, not a curated record.
UGAUUUUUUUUUUUUUUUCCACAAAAUAUGUAUGUCGCAAUGGUGUUUUGUCAACAAAACUGUGUUAGGUGAGUAGGCUUUUAGAAUAAAUGGCGUAGCAUGACAGGAGGUGUAUUUUACCAUUUGUUGAAACUGAAUUAAAGCACGGAAAAAACCUUCUUUUUGGAAAAUCGACAGCUGUGUUGUUUAUUUACAGGAAAUACUUAAGAAAAAAGGAAUCAUACAAGAUAUGCAAGAUACUCUAUACAAGAAAAAUGUGCUACGUAAAAUACAUACAUAAAGUACUUUUUGAGCUAUUUAGUAUCCUAUGUGUCGAGAUGCUGUAACUCCUUGUGCACAGCCUGUUCAAGUAGGGAAUAUUGCGCCGAUAUUCGACCGACAGUCUAGAACAAUAGCCCUAGGUGUGAUCCCAACCCCUCGCCAACCCCGACGCAGGCUGAUUUGCAAGUGCCUUUAUCACCACUGGAAGGCUUACAUUACAUUUGGCUUACAUGUCUGGCAGAUAUAAGUUUUGUUCCCUGAACAUCUGCCGAUUUGGCACUGUCUCCUUUUCGCAGGUGGAGAAGGAGUUUCAGGCAAAAGUCACUUGCAUGCUGUCGCUGCUGCUCAGCGCUUCUAGGUAUAAGUGGGUCAAACCAGUACGGCGCUUCUAGCAAGAUAUCACAGCGGUCAAAUGACCGGCGCUCGGCGCUUCUAGUGUUAAAGGGAAAAGAGAACAAUGGGUUUUUCUUUUUGUUUGUGCAUAUGCUCCAGUGCAUUGCACAGCUGAACAAAGUGCUUCCAGGGAGACGUGCUUUUCGUGAUUCUAUUUCCACCAAGGACAUCGAUAUUUCCAGAGCCAGAACUACUGAUGGUUCCAAUUUUAACUAUUUAGGCAACACAGCUUCCUGAAUCUUUCACACGUGUCACUGCAAAAGAUUCCAGAAUGGUGUUCGGAUGUCUUCCUUUGUUCCUUUGCAAUUCUCCUGCUUUAUCUAUUUGAGCUCUGCAGGUUUUGCAUACAAGUUGUCCACAGGGAUGUCAAAAAAACCCCCCAAAAAACCUGUAUCUGAGAAGCAUGCAGGUCCAUAGUGAUAUGUUUGGCCCCAGACACAGAGCAUGUUGGCCACCGACCUGACAGACAUCGGAGCACGACUCGUGUCUUUUUUGUCCUGUUAGGGAUAGGGGAAGGAGCUCGCCAAUGCAAGGUCCCGCUUUUCUGGGCUUUGAUGCCCAGAUGGGUUUAGGGUCUGAUAAAUGCACGCAUGCCCCUUGCGGGGUCAGGGCUGAGCUUUGAGGCUGCCUUCUUCUUGACCUCUUUCUUGGGAUUCUUUAGCUGAUGCAGCAGGGGCUGUGCUUUCUUCUGCCAUUGAGGCAUGUAGUUGAAUAUGUGGCUUUCCUUUGGUGAAGGGUGACAAGGUUCUUGAUUGCGAGCUUGACACGAGACUUGUUCUUCUUUACAAGAAGGCCUGCGGGUGGGUUUAGGAUCUGAUAAAUGCACACCACCUUCGAAAGAGCUCGCCAAUGCUAGGUCCCGCUUUUCUAGGCUUUGAUGCCCAGAUGGGUUGGUCUGAGAAAAGCAUGCCUGCCCCUUGCGGGGUCAGCGCUGGGCUUUGAGGCCGCCUUCUUCUUAGGAUUCUUUAGCUGGUGCAGCAGGAGCAACUGGGGCUGCGGUUUCUUAUGUUGUGGCUUUCCUUUGGUGAAUGCCUGAAUGUAGGCGUCUUACUUCUUUUGCCUCCUUGUUCCAGGCUCAAACUCUUUGAGUUACCUAAAUGUCACCUUACGGCUGAGUUUAAAUGCUUUGCACCUCUUACAGUGGAGGACCCGCUUCUCUGGGCUUUGACGCCGCCUUCUUUUUGCUAGGCUUCUUUUUGUGCCCGCACUGUGCCGCUCAAAUUAUGCUCAGUGCUUCUGGCAAUCACACCUAGAAUGUAUAAAUGUAGAUAUAUGCAAUAGGUUAAUGAACAACAUAAAACAAACAACAUUUAGGGACAUACGGGUACAUACAGUUUAUUUUCACUGAAAAAUAAUGACAAAUCAAUUAGAUACAGGGUUUAAUGACUACAAGUAAGUGUGACUACAGUGACAACAUCAUUGUUGUUAAGGUCGCAUGAAUUUGUGCUUUUCAGGAGCCAGAGGCCUGCUAUUCAAACUCAUGAUUUUGUACAGGCACUGUGUUGUUGAUGAUGAAGAUGUGCUGGUGGGCCCCUCCCCGCCCCCAGGCCGGGUGGGUUUAGGAUCUGACAAAUGCACACCACCUCCAUCAUCCUCCAGCACCUCCUCCAUGGCUCUUUCCAGCUGGUUAUGCCCAUUCCACGACAUCCUAAGCCUGGGUUUAAAUUGCCAAGUUAGAGAAGCCAUUUCUCAGGCUCCCUCUUCUCUCCCCUCUGAUAAAUGCGCUUCUUUGGCAACUCUGUGCUCGCCGAUGCUAGGUCCUGCUUUUCCGGGCUAGGAUGCCCCCUUCUUCUUGGACACUUCCGGUGGACAGCCUAUUGGUUGGAUCCAUAUCACCCAUCUUUGAUCCACAUUGUCAUUUUCUAUUACAUUUCAGUAAUGCUCUUUAAUUUAUUUAUUCUUCUCGCGGGGUCAGCACACUUUUGCAUUUAUUAGCUCUAGAAUUGCUACAGUUAUCCAUAGACCAGGGUAGAACGCUCAAAGGAACCGUAACUUGAUUUAAUGAGCCAUUCGCAGUUUCCCCAGCCUCCAUCAUCCUCCAGCACCUCCUCCAUGGCUCUUUCCAGCUACACAUGCCCAUUCCACGACAUCUUAAGCCUGGGUUUACCCUCAGAGCCGUUUACCCUCCUCAAAAGAGGGUUAAAAUGUAGUGUUUUGUUGCUCUGGGUUUGUAAAUACUUCAGUUAAGCACCCAGGGCAGGUGAGGGACAAUGUAGCCCUAUUUUCUUGAACGUUUUCUAAGAAAUGGAAUCACGUCACAUGUUGCACAUGUUUCUAUAAACUGUGCAAACACACUGAACCCUAACCCUAACCUUAACUCUCAUUCUGAGCUUCAGGGAAUUUCAAGAUAAUUGAAUGAUUAAUUCUGUAGAUGAAGUGUGAAUGAGUGCCCAUUACUGGAAAUAGGCAUCUGCUUAUCAACAAAACAAGAAAAAGAAACAGUGAUAGAAAGAGUGUACAUUUAUUGCUGACACUUUUUUAACACAUUGUAUAAUACAGACACAGUUUGAAAAGAUGCUUAAAGACGGAGAAGGGCAAUGAAUGACAUCAGUGCUAUGUGUGUGCAUUUAAUACGUGUCAGUAGUGUUGGUCCUGUGAUCUUACAGCCAAUUGAAGUCCAGCCCCUCCCCAGCAAAUGAGCCUCUUGACACGCCGUAGUCAAGUAAAAGUUCCUCAUCCACCCUGAUGUCCCUCAUGGCGACGAAAAGUAUAAUGUCCGUUUCCUGCUCGACCGUGAACAGUCUGGGUCGCACGUUGGCGCGCUUGGUGGAGUGAUUGAUGAGCGGUCCCAUGGUUGUCUUGGUUGGGUGGCACUCGCAGUGGCUGUCAUGCGCGUCGAUGCACUUUCCUCUGCCCUUCUUGUCGGUGUAAAAAAACAUGUACCCAGUGUCAUUUUCCCCCGUGUUUUUGUGGGUCUGGAGUCCCUCUGCCCUGGAAACCGUGGUUUGCCGUGGUGAUCACAGACCACCUCCACUCUGACACAAAAACACAGUAGAAGAAUUAUAGAAGAAUUUGUAACUCUCACCUAACUCUACUUUUAUGAAAUAUAGGUCUCUGCUUCUGCUUUUCGGCUUGACUUGCGGGGAGCAAUAGUGGAGGCGGCAGACGUGCGGGGUGCAGAGCUGGAGGGGCCAGACGUGGAGGGGGCAGAGGUGGAGGGGCCGAAGUGUAGCACCGCCACAUAUGGGUUUUAGGAUUCCUUUUUAAUUCGAGGUUAACAGUAUAAGGGCUGACCACUAUGAAUGGAAUCCAUAUAAUAGAACAUUCCAUCCUCUACGUGUAUUAUGGCUGUUUUAAUUUAUUCCGGUCUGUCGUUGCAUUUUCAUUUUGCUUUGUUUGUGGGAAUCAGCUGGCUGUCAAAGCGGUCAGCUGACGCGCCACCCGGGAACUUUUCAAAUGCUUUUAAAAGGAAACACGGGUGUGGCAGGGAAGUGGAUAGAGGCGAAAAGAAACUCAGGGAGUCUGCGGGGGACCUGAACACCGAGAUCGGAAAGUGUACUUGAAAUAAAUGAAAGUGAAAAAGAAUUCAAUCACCCUUUUGGGAAGGUUUCCUUAAAGCUACACUCACCGAAGAUUCAUGUCUGAGCACGGGGUAUUGUCUUCCGAUCCCUAGUCUGCCAAACCGGUGAGUGUUCUUUUUUUUUUGCUGUUUGUUGGUUUUUUGGGCCCCUUUUUUUUUUUUUUUGGUGUAAUUUUUGGUUGCCCUUUUUUCGUAUUUCGUUUGAAUUACACGCUCUUUCUGAAUGACUUUCUACAUGGUAAGCAAGAGGUGCACGGAUGCAUAAAGCGCAGCUAGAGUUUUACCACCGGAACUUUAAGAACUGUAUUUGGUUUGUGUGUGAAUGAUAGGCGUUGGAUGUAUGUUUGUGUUGGAUGGUGGGUUAUUGACAGUAGACUUCAAAACGGCAUCUUCUGUGUUGUACUUUUAUUUUAUUUACCAAUCUGAAUUUGCUGCAAUUAAAAAGAAACGUCAAUCAUAUCUUAAAGAGAAUCAAUUUUAGCCCGUGUAUUUGUUGGUAGUAAUCGCUGUUUGGAUAGCUGAUUGUUACAGAAGGUGGUGGGGCCAGAGGUGCGGCAUACAGAAUCUCCGGGGGAGAGGGGUGAUACGGAAUCACUGGAAGUCCUCAUUUUGGAUGAUUCAGAAAACAGAAUGUGCCGAAGACUCUGAAACAGAUUGACAUACCGAUCCACGCGGACUCUUUGUGCACCCAGACGAACUUAAGGACCAUAUAAAAACCAUAUGUGUGGGGAGAACAAAUCACGCUGCACGAGGGAGAGACACAGAUUAACCGAAAGCUGUGCGCGUUCUCGGGCAGAGAAGGAGAACGUCUAAGAAAGCGAGUUGCAUCUUCUCCCUCUGCUCACUAUUUUCCCCUGUUUUAACAGGGGUACAACAUUUUGGAUGCACCGCUGGGAUAGCUGUUCUGAUGCCUGCUGUUCACAACCAGGCAGCCAACUUCUGAUCCAGUUAAUCCCCAACAAUAUAACCCCGGCAGAUUACAGUACGUUCGGUGAGAGUUCCAGGCAGUGGUGUAUGCUCCUGAUGAUUCUCUGAGGGCAGAGAUGGCCUCCUUUGUUCUCGACUACAUAUUCUCCCAACCAGAGGAUGAGAUCACAGAUGAGGGUGAUGAGGCAGAGAUGACGAUAGCAGUACUGCAGCGACGGAGGAACCAGCUCGCUGGGUACUACAAACGGAUCAUUCAAGGUGACUUGGAGAUCAGGGCUGCUGAUGUACUCAAAUAUUGCAGCAGGUUCUGCAGGGAUUAUGGAGACACAAUUAAAGAGACAAAUCCAAGAUCACAAAUCAGGUGGAGAGUGCUAAGAAAGCUAUGCGUCAUCAGACCUCAUGGACCUUGAUCCCAUCACCCCUAAUCUGCUGUUGAUGGGGCGGCUAGAUGCUUCUCUCCCUCAAGCUGUGUACGGCUCUAGUGACCUGCUGGGACUUCGCUGUUGGAAACACAGCCGGGUACUUGCUGAUCAUUUCUGGGGUCAGUUUGCAUGCAAGUACCUCCCCAGUCUCCAACCACGGCAGAAAUGGCGAAAUGCAGCUCCAGACUUAGCUGUGAACACUGUAGUUAUGGUGGUGAACCCACAGCUCCGUAGGGCACUUUGGCCUGUUGGGCGCGUCCCAAGAAUCAUCCCUAGUGACAACAGCAAGAUCGGUACAGUGGAGGUGGAGAUCGCGUUUCCAAACUGAUAGAGCUCCCAAAGAUGCCAGACAAUGGUGAAACCAGUGACAAACUUGUUGGACGAAGGAGGACGCUUAACUAACAGAGAAGGAACAUGGAUUAGGGAGGCAUCUUCCUGGCCGGGACACUUAAAGGAGACAUCGAGCACAUGACAGCUGACCUACUCCAAGAGGAGAUACCGGAGUGGACAGAGACGCAGGCGGCGAUCCACCUCCACCAGCCAGAGCGUGUUCGGCUGUGAGGAGAGUUAGCGCGAGCUGUUUGCUUGGGGGGCCCAGCUCCGGUUCAGCCAGGAAGGGCCAAAGGGCGAAGGUGACACUCUCUCAAAGCACUGAUGGAAGGCGUGUCACUUGGGCCCGAGACAGAGCCCGGCUCCCACUGGGCGCGCUCCCCCUGCGAAGAAGAGCGGCGUGACCAGCUGUGGCACACUUUACGGCUUCGUCCC